GCGGCGACCGUGGAGACGCUGAUUUUGGUAGAGGUGAGCAGGGGCUCCCUGCACCGCACAGCAGCUCCCUGGGGCAUGCAAAGGCAGCAAAUGCCUGGUGCCAGGGAGAGCACGGCACGGCAGACUGUCCCUGCGGUCACGUGCAGACCCCUUGUGCCGCACRGGGGCUGCUCGGGAUCAAGGGAGCAGCCUGCAACUGUGCAGGGGGCUGGGGGCUGCAGGGCCGCUUCGGGGGCGCUGGCUGCAGCAGCAGCCUUUGCCACAGCCCCCGUGGCACAGAGGCACAGCGUCAGGCCUGCACCUCCAGCCUCUCCUCCRCAGCCCUUGGACCACCCCCGCUUUUCCUGGCAGCCUCUCCCACAUGCCUGCAUUGCUGCAGCAACAUCGCUGGAGCAGCUCCCUCGAGGCCCCCACUGAGGAGGGGCGGCUCUGUAACCAUCAGCCCUUUCUCACAGGCUGACGCCAAGAAAGGCCCCCGCUUGGACCCUUCCGACGGCGAAGAGGCACUUGGCCACUCGGCUGCAGAGGGAGCGAAGGCAAGGCGGCAGGUGAUCUCCUGGCCACUUGCUCGGCGAGGAACCUCUGCCAGCAGGGCCUGCCCUGUCCCAGGGCAGCUCGCCUCUGGCCCCAGGGCGGCUCUCUUUGGCCRGCCUCUGGCAGCUCUCUGCGGGCAAGACGGGGGCCUGCCCCAGCCAGUCCAGGUAAGCAAGCCUGCCCACAGAGGCACGCUGCUUCGGGCCUCUCGCGCGACACAGCCUGCCCAGCACUUGUGCUGGGGCUCUCAAGAGAGAGGCGCUUUGGGGCUUCCCCCUCCACACGCGCUGCUGACACGCAAGGCCUGCAGGCCAGGUCCCAGCCCCGGGGGGAACGGGGGCCAGCUCUGCGGCUUUGCUCCAGCCCACACCACUGGCACGGGUGCCUAGGAAAUACCAGGUUAUUGCCAGUGUGAUCGACGUGGAGCNCAGCUCUCUGCGGGCAAGACGGGGGCCUGCCCCAGCCAGUCCAGGUAAGCAAGCCUGCCCACAGAGGCACGCUGCUUCGGGCCUCUCGCGCGACACAGCCUGCCCAGCACUUGUGCUGGGGCUCUCAAGAGAGAGGCGCUUUGGGGCUUCCCCCUCCACACGCGCUGCUGACACGCAAGGCCUGCAGGCCAGGUCCCAGGCCAGGGGGGAACGCGGGCCAGCUCUGCGGCUUUGCUCCAGCCCACACCACUGGCACGGGUGCCUAGGAAAUACCAGGUUAUUGCCAGUGUGAUCGACGUGGAGCAAGGAGAUACUAAGGCAAGCAAAGCAGAGUGUGCCCCCAAGUCCAAACCUGUCCAUUGCUUCCUGCAGGAGCUCCUGGCUAUACUGUAUGAGAAAGGGCCUGCCACCGAGGGCAUCUUCAGGWAGGCGGCGAGCGAGAAGGCCUGCAAGGAGCUGAAGGCGGUCCUAAACCAGGGCAAGAGCGCUGACCUGGACAGCAGACCCAUGCACCUCCUGGCAGUGGUGCUGAAGGHGAAUUCCUUGCACCAGCAGAGCACACGGCUCUCCGAGCAUGUGCCUCAUGUGUAUGGGCCCCUGGCAGUGCCUCUACUCCCCUCGGUGGCACUCCAAGCUAAAAGCCUACUGAAGCCAGACUCCGGGCUUCAGGCUCAGGACACUGUGGCACUUUUCUUCCCCCUCAGAUUGUCAGCUGCCCUAGUUCUGCCCCUGAUUCCCUGCAUGACCAUGGGAAACUCCCUUCCUCCACCUCCUCUUCAGCAUCCUCCUCUCCUCAGGGAGGACCAYGGAGACUCAGGGCUGCACCAAAGGCUCAGCUAGGAGCUGGGUCCUGCUCCUGCACUAACACCAGUGCGUUUGGCAUGCACUCGCACAGCCCCCCGCACUCUCAGUGCUCAGGAGCACCUUUGGGAGCAGGCAGCUCAAAGCAACCUGCCUGCUU
This 1923-nucleotide long non-coding RNA is filed under the name Dromaius novaehollandiae (emu). RNAcentral describes it as "lncRNA (ENSDNVG00000010434.1)". Lineage: Eukaryota; Metazoa; Chordata; Aves; Casuariiformes; Dromaiidae. The record is from RNAcentral.